CAGCCGCCGCGGUAAUACGCAGGUGGCGAGCGUUGUCCGGAUUUAUUGGGCGUAAAGGGAGUGUAGGCGGUCUUUUAAGUCUGAUGUGAGAGCCCACGGCUCAACCGUGGAGGGUCAUUGGAAACUGGGAGACUUGAGUGCAGAAGAGGAGAGCGGAAUUCCAUGUGUAGCGGUGAAAUGCGUAGAUAUAUGGAGGAACACCAGUGGCGAAGGCGGCUCUCUGGUCUGUAACUGACGCUGAGGCUCGAAAGCGUGGGGAGCAAACAGGAUUAGAUACCCCAGUAGUCCCUGUCUCUUAUAC
This 301-nucleotide ribosomal RNA is filed under the name uncultured bacterium. RNAcentral's name for it is "partial 16S ribosomal RNA". It matches the Rfam family "Bacterial small subunit ribosomal RNA", at positions 509 to 807 of the family's 1533-position model. The record is from RNAcentral.